This 1116-nucleotide ribosomal RNA is filed under the name uncultured organism. RNAcentral's name for it is "bacterial SSU rRNA". It matches the Rfam family "Bacterial small subunit ribosomal RNA", at positions 306 to 1451 of the family's 1533-position model. The record is from RNAcentral.
CCCCACAAUGGAACUGAGACACGGUCCAUACUCCUACGGGAGGCAGCAGUGAGGAAUAUUGCGCAAUGGGGGAAACCCUGACGCAGCAACGCCGCGUGAACGAUGAAGGCCUUCGGGUCGUAAAGUUCUUUUCUAAGGGAAGAUAGUGACGGUACCUUAGGAAUAAGUCCCGGCUAACUACGUGCCAGCAGCCGCGGUAAAACGUAGGGGGCGAGCGUUAUCCGGAUUUAUUGGGCGUAAAGCGCACGUAUGUGGCGCUGUAAGUUAGACGUGAAAGCUCUCGGCUCAACUGAGAGAGGUCGUUUAAAACUGCAGUGCUUGAGGUUAGAAGAGGAGAGCAGAAUUCCCGGUGUAGUGGUGGAAUGCGUAGAUAUCGGGAGGAAUACCAGUGGCGAAGGCGGCUCUCUAGUCUACACCUGACACUGAGGUGCGUAAGCGUGGGUAGCGAACGGGAUUAGAUACCCCGGUAGUCCACGCUGUAAACGAUGGAUACUAGGUUUAGGGGGUCAAUUAACCCCUCUGGGCCGAAGCAAACGCGUUUAGUAUCCCGCCUGGGGACUACGGCCGCAAGGUUUAAACUCAAAGGAAUUGACGGAGGCCCGCACAAGCAACGGAGCGUGUUGGUUUAAUUCGAUGAUACGCGAAGAACCUUACCUGGGCUGAACUACGUGGUAGUAGUGAAGCGAAAGCGGAUCGACCCUUCGGGGAGCCUCGAUAGGUGCUGCAUGGCUGUCGUCAGCUCGUGUCGUGAGAUGUUGGUUUAAGUCCCGCAACGAGCGCAACCCUCGUCGCUAGUUACAAGUGUCUAGCGAGACUGCCGGUAUCAAACCGGAGGAAGGUGGGGAUGACGUCAAGUCAGCAUGGUCUUUAUGUCCAGGGCUACACACACGCUACAAUGGUCGGUACAAUAGGUUGCCACACCGCGAGGUGGAGCUAAUCCUCAAAGCCGAUCUCAGUUCGGAUUGUAGUCUGCAACUCGACUACAUGAAGGCGGAGUUGCUAGUAACCGCGCGUCAGCAUAGUGCGGUGAAUGCGUUCCCGGGCCUUGUACACACCGCCCGUCACAUCAUGGGAGUCGGUAACACCUGAAGUCGGUGACCUAACCGAAAGGGGGGA